This 558-nucleotide ribosomal RNA is filed under the name uncultured bacterium. RNAcentral describes it as "bacterial SSU rRNA". It matches the Rfam family "Bacterial small subunit ribosomal RNA", at positions 40 to 575 of the family's 1533-position model. The record is from RNAcentral.
UGGGGGGUCUUACCAUGCAGUCGACGGACUGGACUUAGCAAUAGGUGAAGGUUAGUGGCGAACGGGUGAGUAACGCGUAGACAACCUGCCUCAAAGAUGGGGACAACGUUUCGAAAGGAACGCUAAUACCGAAUGUUGUAUAUGAAGUGCAUACUUUAUAUACGAAAGGUGGCCUCUAUAUACAAGCUACCGCUUUGAGAUGGGUCUGCGUCUGAUUAGCUAGUUGGUGAGGUAAUGGCUCACCAAGGCUUCGAUCAGUAGCCGGUCUGAGAGGAUGAACGGCCACACUGGGACUGAGACACGGCCCAGACUCCUACGGGAGGCAGCAGUGGGGAAUCUUCCGCAAUGGACGAAAGUCUGACGGAGCAACGCCGCGUGAGUGAAGAAGGUUUUCGGAUCGUAAAGCUCUGUCUUUGGGGACGAACGUGCUUUUUAUAAAUAAUGAAAAGUAAUGACGGUACCUGAGGAGGAAGCCACGGCUAACUACGUGCCAGCAGCCGCGGUAAUACGUAGGUGGCAAGCGUUGUCCGGAAUUAUUGGGCGUAAAGAACGCGUAGG